GCUGGGCAUGGUGGCUCAUGCCUGUAAUCCCAGCACUUUGGGAGGCUGAGGUGGGUGGAUCAUCUGAGGUCAGGAGUUUGAGACCAGCCUGGCCAACAUGGUGAAACCCCGUCUCUA
RNAcentral lists this non-coding RNA (117 nucleotides) under Homo sapiens (human). Lineage: Eukaryota; Metazoa; Chordata; Mammalia; Primates; Hominidae. The record is from Rfam by way of RNAcentral.